Molecule: non-coding RNA, 207 nt
Organism: Pelobates cultripes (western spadefoot toad)
Lineage: Eukaryota; Metazoa; Chordata; Amphibia; Anura; Pelobatidae
Source: the annotation of a GenBank genome assembly
UGAAGAAGCCGUCAUAUGGCGAAACGCGUCAAUGCCAUACAAGGGGGAGGAGCUUGCAUCACACAGAGUCCGGAGUGUUUUUUUUUUUAAACUGAAGUUCCAGCGGCUUUCAUUACAGUGAUUCAUCUUCAGUUCAGCCAAGCUGGAGGAGUGAUAGCAGCCCACCCGCUACUUUGAAUCCUUAGAAGCUGUUUUAGUGAGUAACUG